CCUACGGGAGGCAGCAGUGAGGAAUAUUGGUCAAUGGGCGCAAGCCUGAACCAGCCAUGCCGCGUGCAGGAUGACGGUCCUAUGGAUUGUAAACUGCUUUUAUACGGGAAGAAACACUCCCUCGUGAGGGAGCUUGACGGUACCGUAGGAAUAAGGAUCGGCUAACUCCGUGCCAGCAGCCGCGGUAAUACGGAGGAUCCAAGCGUUAUCCGGAAUCAUUGGGUUUAAAGGGUCCGUAGGCGGCCCGGUAAGUCAGUGGUGAAAUCUCCCGGCUCAACCGGGAAAUUGCCAUUGAUACUGCAGGGCUUGAAUUACUGGGAAGCAACUAGAAUAUGUAGUGUAGCGGUGAAAUGCUUAGAUAUUACAUGGAAUACCGAUUGCGAAGGCAGGUUGCUACCAGCGGAUUGACGCUGAUGGACGAAAGCGUGGGUAGCGAACAGGAUUAGAUACCCUGGUAGUCCACGUCGUAAACGAUGGAUACUAGCUGUUCGGCGCAAGCUGAGUGGCUAAGCGAAAGUGA
RNAcentral lists this ribosomal RNA (520 nucleotides) under uncultured Bacteroidota bacterium. RNAcentral's name for it is "bacterial SSU rRNA". It matches the Rfam family "Bacterial small subunit ribosomal RNA", at positions 338 to 860 of the family's 1533-position model. The record is from RNAcentral. Lineage: Bacteria; Pseudomonadati; Bacteroidota.